Oncorhynchus mykiss (rainbow trout) is the source of this 2871-nucleotide non-coding RNA. The record is from RefSeq and is a predicted model, not a curated record. Lineage: Eukaryota; Metazoa; Chordata; Actinopteri; Salmoniformes; Salmonidae.
GACUUGCCUAGUUAAAUAAAGGUAAAACAAAAAUAAAUAAAAAUUAAAUUGUUCAACCAUUCAAUUAUUCUCAAUGGUAAUUAGUAUGUCUUCAGAUAAAUAGGUGAGCAUACUGAGUAUGCCUCCAUAUAGCCACCACUACACCUGCACCACUGGGUGAGAUUGAAGUUGUCUGUGUUAACAGUGACACUACACAUAUAAGCAGGCACAGCACUUCUGCCAUUCCCUGCCUUGCAUGGUAUGACUUUGUAUAUACUAGAGAUCUCAAACUACAUUUUGGACCUUGAAACCAGUUCCACUGCCUUUUUUAAUGUUUCCCUCUAAUGAGUGACUGAUUUAUACCUGGGAAACCAGGAGGGUACAAUGAAUUAUCAGGUGGAACAGAAGACCAACAAGCUCCGGACCUCGUAGGAAUAUUAUUUCUCCAUAGAGAUGCUGGAUACAGAAUUACAGUACCUUACGAACCCUCACAUCCUACACAUGUUCAGUAGAGAAGAACAUCAACAGACAUGGAGCUGUUGAAGCAGCUAGACCACAUCCUACAGACACUUCUGCCCAGAUGCAAAAAGAGUCUGGUAAGCUAACGCCUCAAACUGUGUUCAGAAGGAGCUGGGGUGCAGACAGCAGACAACAGAUGUUUGGGGGUCGAAGUAGAGGUGUUUGGGGUGGAGAGGACGGUGGACUCAGUGGACGACAUCCCAGCCAUUUACCUGAUGGGUAAGUUGACAUCACUUCUACUUAUACAAUCAAUCAAACAAAUUUCAAUGGCUUUUUUUACCCACCAGCAGAUGUCACAAAGUGCUUUUACAGUAACCCGGCCUACACCAGGGGAACCCGGGACAUACAGGGCACCACUGUUCCUUCCUCUCUUUCUCUCUGUGUAAUGACAUAUCCUGUUUAGGCACCUGGCCAGCUGAGUGCAGCUGGCUCUCCCGUCAACAUGAGGAUCCUGCUGCUCCAGCCCCAAAAACACAUAGGUACACAGACACACACACGCAGGAAUGCUAGCCUAUUUAAAUGUUUGUGUGUUGUGUGUCAGAGUUAAGGGAUAGUAAGACAGUCUUUGAUAAGAGGUGUCUGGUGUGGGAGGAGGACAUGGAGAUGCACUUCAAGUUUCUGGACAGAAAGGUGACAAAUUAGUCUUUCCUUACACCCUACCAUUACCCCCUACUCUCACCUAGCCCCUUACACUUAACCGCUAACCCCUACAUUUCCAACAUGACCUGAUGUGUGUGUUACAGGAAGAGUUGAAGGCGGAGCAUGCCUUGUACCUGCAGCAGCACCUGGAGCUCCUUGCCAUGAUGGCCAACUUCUUGCAGUUCCUUUCACCAUGAAAACUGAGCAAUGUCUUGUCUUGGACUUCUCCCCUUUUUCUUCCCACUUACCUCCAGGUGGCACAUUCAACACCUCUCCUUGUCAACACACUGGCUGGGUCUCAAUAGUCUGUUAGCUUCCUCUCACAGGCACUAUAGUGAGGACAAUACUCUUGUCAUUAUUAUGAACAUGAGGCCCUCGAUCAUCAAAUAUUAACGCUUUAAUGGAAGUUUUGUAUUUUAAUUGUGAGAAGUGUUUUACCGUUAUUGUUUGACUGAGCUUCACUGAAAACAAUUCCAAUCAACUCUGUUGAUAUGGCAAUCAACUCUGUUGAUAUGGCAAUCAACUCUGUUGAUAUGGCAAUCGCAAGAGUUAGUUACAGUGUGUCUUAUAUAUUUUCCAUGGUUGAUUUCUGUUAUGAACUUUGUGGUCAUUUUAGUAACUGCUACUUUGCUUUUGCUCUGAUGUGAUCACCCCAUAAAUUUGUAAGAAUUAAGUUACUAAUGCUAUUGUUUGGAUAACUUUACUGCCCUUAUUUCCUAGGAAAUGAUCAUGUAUACUCCUAAUACAUAUUAAUUCAUUACAAAACGGACAGCUGGCAAAGAUGUACAAUGAUUCAUAAAUGUACAGAACCCGCUGCAUGUACUAACAAGUCAAUGUGUUUAUUGUAACAUAAACAAAUUUAACAAAACAAACAAGUUCAAGUCAAACAACUUCACGUCAAGAAAAAAUAUAAUCAGUUCCAACAUUUGACACCCUUGAAAAAGAUCAGCGAAAAGGUGAAAACCUUCAAGUUCCUCUGUGUACAUAUGACAUGGUACGCCCACACAGUGUGGUCAAGGUGCAACAGCGCCUCUUCAACCAAUAGAGGCUGAAGAAAUUCGGCUUGGCCACUAAGACCCUCAAAAAUUUCUACAGAUGCACCAUUGAGAGCAUCCUGUCGGGAAAUGUAUCACUGCGUGGAACAGCAACUGCACCAUCUGCAACUGCAGGGCUCGCCAGAGGGUGAUGCUGUCUGCCCAAUGCAUCACUGGGGGCAUACUGCCUGCCCUCCAGGACAUUUACAGCACCUGCUGUCACAGGAAAGCCAAGAAGUUCAUCUAGGACCUCAGCCACCCGAGCCACAGCCUGUUAACCCCACUACCAUCCAGAAGGGGAGAUCAGUACAGGUCAUCAGACUGUUAAAUAGUCACCACUUGCCGGCCUCUGCCCAGAACAGUACCCUGCCCUGAACUUUAGUCGCUGUAACUAGCUGGCUACCACCCAGUUCCUCAACCCUGCACCUUAGAGGUUGCUGCCCCUAAGUACAUAGUCAUGGAACACUGGUCCCUUUAGUAUUGUUUACAUACUGUUUGACCCACAUAUGUAUAUACUGUAUUCUAGUUAUGUCCUAUCCUAUUUAACUCUUGCUGUACAUAUACCAUUCUAUCCUACGUAUUCUACAGAUACACUACAUAUUGUAUCCAUAAACUGUCCAUAAUGUCUAUACAUCCCAUCACAUACAGUGCCUUUGGAAAGUAUUCGGACCCCUUGACUUUUUCCAAAUUUUGUUAUUUU